Molecule: transfer RNA, 64 nt
Filed under: Diaphanoeca grandis
Lineage: Eukaryota; Choanoflagellata; Acanthoecida; Stephanoecidae
Source: RNAcentral
UUUACUGCAUGAUCGCGAAAGAAUUUGUCCAACCCAUCAAACCAUUAACUAAACGCCGACAUAG